Non-coding RNA from Chrysemys picta bellii (western painted turtle), 1216 nucleotides. The record is from RefSeq and is a predicted model, not a curated record. NCBI's taxonomy places the organism in Eukaryota, Metazoa, Chordata, Testudines, Emydidae.
GUGGGGGUGCCGCUGGGGGAGGGAGGAGAUUUACCUGCUUACAGACAAUUUUAACUGUUAUUAACCGCAUUAUAUCCAAAUUUGUUUUAUAUCUGGUGGCGUUAUAUCGAGGUAGCGGUGCAGUUCUGGUCUGACCAAAAUAUUGUCUGAUUCCCCCCCCAAUCAUUUCCCACAACUGUGAAAAUUUAAAUUGGAAUGAAAUGCUUAAAACCAAGAUUGUUGUGCAACUGUGAAAGUUUAAAUCAAUAAAUAUAAAAAUUGCUUAAAAUAAACAUUAUCUGUCAAAAUUAGAUUAUACAAAAAAUUCUGCCAAGCCUGACUAUCACUCCUUAGACACACAGCUCCUGCUCCUCCAGGCUUAUCCUCACAGGGGGCUGCCUCAGUGACCCUCCACCACCAGCACAGGGGCUGAUUGCAGGACCGGAGCCCUAGUGGUACAUUUCUUACCAAAGCCUCCAGGGCUGAAAUUGGUUGGGUUUUUCCUGCUCAGCAAACAGCAUGAGUCAUUUUCAGGCAAGGAAACACCCCCUUAUUGCUGCAGGCGGGGCAUAGUGUGAACUCAGGAAAUUGAAACUAACCCUGUUACCCUGCCCAGAGAGAGCCAUGGCUGCAGAGAACCCCGUGGAAAGUCUCCAGGAAGAAGCUUCAUGUCCCAUCUGUCUGCAGUAUUUCACAGAACCUGUCACUCUGGAGUGUGGGCACAAUUUCUGCCGAGCCUGCAUCAGCCAGUGCUGGGAGGGAUCCGACACAGCCGCCUCCUGCCCUCAGUGCAGAGAAACUGUGCAACAGAGAAACCUCAGGCCCAACAGGCAGCUGGCAAAUGUCGUAGAAAUCGCCAAACGGCUGAGUUUACAGGCAGCAAAGGGAGCAGGACGGGACGGGGUGUGUGGGGAACACCAGGAGGCUCUGAAACUGUUCUGUGAAGAGGAUCAAACCCCCAUCUGUGUGAUCUGCAGAGAGUCCCGGGCUCACCGCGCUCACACUGUGGUUCCCAUACAGGAAGCUACCCAGGAGUACAAGGAAAAAAUACAAGCCCAUUUGAAGACUCUGAAGGAAGAGAGAGAAAAGCUGCUGGGAUUUAAAGUGACUGGAGAGAAGAGAAGCCAGGAGUAUCUGGUAGGUGCCUAUUGUUCUUUGCCUGCUGGGACAUGGAGGUGGGAGGGAUGUUUAUUGGUAGAUUUGUGUGUGUUUCUCCAUGAUCAUGGGAUACUGUGUG